UCGGGAAUUUUGGGCAAUGGGGGAAACCCUGACCCAGCAACGCCGCGUGAAGGAUGAAGUAUUUCGGUAUGUAAACUUCGAAAGAAUAGGAAGAAUAAAUGACGGUACUAUUUUAUAAGGUCCGGCUAACUACGUGCCAGCAGCCGCGGUAAUACGUAGGGACCAAGCGUUGUUCGGAUUUACUGGGCGUAAAGGGCGCGUAGGCGGCAUGACAAGUCACUUGUGAAAUCUCUGGGCUUAACCCAGAACGGCCAAGUGAUACUGUCGCGCUAGAGUGCAGAAGGGGCAAUCGGAAUUCUUGGUGUAGCGGUGAAAUGCGUAGAUAUCAAGAGGAACACCUGAGGUGAAGACGGGUUGCUGGGCUGACACUGACGCUGAGGCGCGAAAGCCAGGGGAGCAAACGGGAUUAGAUACCCUUGUAGUCCCUGAGCGGGCUGGCAAGGCGCAU
This 448-nucleotide ribosomal RNA is filed under the name uncultured bacterium. RNAcentral describes it as "bacterial SSU rRNA". It matches the Rfam family "Bacterial small subunit ribosomal RNA", at positions 355 to 825 of the family's 1533-position model. The record is from RNAcentral.